GCUGGCGUGGUGGAAUUGGCAGACACGCAAGAUUAAGGUUCUUGUGUCUCCGUGACGUGCGGGUUCAAGUCCCGCCGCCAGCACCA
RNAcentral lists this transfer RNA (86 nucleotides) under Bacteroidaceae bacterium. Its description in RNAcentral is "tRNA-Leu". It matches the Rfam family "tRNA". Rfam says of the family: Transfer RNA (tRNA) molecules are approximately 80 nucleotides in length. Lineage: Bacteria; Pseudomonadati; Bacteroidota; Bacteroidia; Bacteroidales; Bacteroidaceae. The record is from RNAcentral.